Molecule: transfer RNA, 87 nt
Filed under: Parcubacteria group bacterium
Lineage: Bacteria
Also listed under: 1 other name
Description: tRNA-Ser
Rfam family: tRNA
About the family: Transfer RNA (tRNA) molecules are approximately 80 nucleotides in length. Their secondary structure includes four short double-helical elements and three loops (D, anti-codon, and T loops).
Source: RNAcentral
GGAGAGUUGGCUGAGUGGUCUAAAGCGCCUCACUGCUAACGAGGUAAGGGUUAAACCCCUUCGAGAGUUCGAAUCUCUCACUCUCCG